CAGCCGCCGCGGUAAUACGAAGGGGGCUAGCGUUGCUCGGAAUGACUGGGCGUAAAGGGCGCGUAGGCGGCGGCCAAAGUCAGGCGUGAAAUUCCUGGGCUCAACCUUGGGGCUGCGCUUGAUACUUGGUUGCUUGAGUGGGGAAGAGGGUCGUGGAAUUCCCAGUGUAGAGGUGAAAUUCGUAGAUAUUGGGAAGAACACCGGUGGCGAAGGCGGCGACCUGGUUCAUGACUGACGCUGAGGCGCGAAAGCGUGGGGAGCAAACAGGAUUAGAUACCCCCGUAGUCCCUGUCUCUUAUAC
This 301-nucleotide ribosomal RNA is filed under the name uncultured bacterium. RNAcentral's name for it is "partial 16S ribosomal RNA". It matches the Rfam family "Bacterial small subunit ribosomal RNA", at positions 509 to 807 of the family's 1533-position model. The record is from RNAcentral.